GAAUGCACCAUUCCUAGUCACCUUGAUAACAGCCCCAUUUUCUGUUAAUAAUACUCUAUGAGAAAAAUCUUGCAAAAAUAGUCAGAAAAGGCAGAGUCACAUGCGGUUCAGUGUGUUCCACCUUGGCAGACGGUCUUAGGAGGAGUUUUGGAAGGAUCGUGCUGCAGGCAAUGGAUGAGAUAAUGAUGAGAAAGUUUCCAGCUCUGUAUAAAAAGGCAAGCGAAAUAUAUGCUUGUGAAUUUUUGGCUGCUUUUUUAUGCUGUAUUUUCAGAUCAAUUUUAUCCCAGUUAAUGUGAAUAUAAACUCUGAUUGUUAUGGCUAUCUCUCGUGGGGUGUCUAUUAUUUUGUCAGAAAUUGUAUCAGGAACUUUAUAUCAAUCACUAAAUUACACAUUUCCAAGCUGCAUAUGAAUUAGGUAUUACUAUGAUCAUUUUACAGAUGAAGAAGAUGAGACUCAGAGCAAUACAUAAGUUGCCCAAGGUCAGAGAGCAAGCCUCUGGCUGAUGGAUCCAAGAGGUAGAUGCGUGAUGUCAAAAUAUUCUCUUUUAUAGUGACCAUAUCAGAGCACAGUGUACUCCUCUUGCCGUAUUCAGAGGAUUUGCCUAUGGGCAGCAACAUUAUUCUCUCGUUCUCUGGAUAUUAGGAACAAUAUCACAGGACCGGCGGACAGCCCCAGUCAUAUCUGAAAAUAUCACAGCACGGUGUACUCGUCUUGCCGUAUUCAGAGGAUUUGCCUAUGGGCAGAAACAUUCCCCUCUCCUUCUCUGGAUAUUAGAAACAUUAUCACAGGACCGGCAAACAGCCGCAGUCAUAUCGUGAGUAAUGUCAUCUGUAAUCCCCUAGUUAUAAAAAACAACAUCAAGGGGGUCUUGUGCACUUUAUGAGAUACUUAGAGUAAUGUUAGGAUUUGGGUAAUUUACAUGAGGGAGAAUAUUGAGUUGGUGUAUACACUCCAAAACACAGUAGAAAAGGGCAUUGUAUAUUUUUUCUGACGGAUUAUAUUGAGAGCAAUUUUGCUUUUAACAUUGGGGUACCUAGAUAAUAUUUAGAUUUUUUUCGAUUAGCGUAAAUUAAGAAUUUCAGUAUUUUACA
Non-coding RNA from Callithrix jacchus (white-tufted-ear marmoset), 1092 nucleotides. Lineage: Eukaryota; Metazoa; Chordata; Mammalia; Primates; Cebidae. The record is from RefSeq and is a predicted model, not a curated record.